CGAGAUUUUCCGUUGUUAACAGCAAGUGGUUAUGUCGCUUUUAAUAUUUUUCUGAUUUUUUUAUAGAAAAAGUGAUUUUUCUGAGCAUUAUUUGAAUUUAUUUUGUUCCUUAAGGCCCGUUUAUUCUUCUGAAAGUAAAUGUUAUUAAUAUGGCACACCCAGCGCAUAAAGACCACCUGAAUAAAGAGACCUUAAAGAAAUAACCCCAUAUUACGGAGGCUUUCAUACCCCUUAUAUAAUUUUGAUGUUUGGCCUUUAUUAUGGUUUACAAUUGGUUUUGCAUUAUCUGAUUAAAAAGCUUUUGUACAACAAAAUCAUUGGAUGUAUACAGUUCCAGGGCAGUGCAAUAAUUAUCCUUUUGAUGAAUAUUACAAACAAUGCAUCAGUACUAGUAUAUCUAAAAUUUUAUUUCUUUUGGAAUCAAUACUUUCCAGAAGGCUAGAAGUUACACAUAGACAUAAGGAUGUCUGCCAACACAUUGGAUUUUAUAAUAUAUACUUUUUAUAUUACUAUUAAUAGAAUUUAAUAUAAACGAAACUGGUAAUCUAUGAUAACAGAAAAAAUAACAAUUAUAUUUUAACUGUAGGUAUUUUUAGUUAAUAAGUUCUAUUAAAUUAAUUUAUAUUUGUAAAAAAACCGAGUCUAAGAACAUGUUUUAGUCAUUUCUUUUAAUUAGGUAAAAAUUAUGACAUGUAUACAUAUACUGCCCUGUUACUAAAUAAUAUAUCUCUUAUCUAAUGUGUUGAACAAGAUAAGAUCUUCCUUGUUUAUAUUUCCAAAUAAGGUACUUUUAUAUGUCAGAUUUAUUUAGCUGGUAAAUGCCAAAUAAUAUUUUUAGUACGCUUUGUAUCUAUCUCAAAUUGUAGUUCAGUUUUUUUCUUUAACGCGGCAAUAGACAAUAUGAUCGAAAAAAAACCGCGUCAUCGAUGGCUAUGAAAUGAAGGCUGCUGUCAUUUUAUAUGUAAAAUUAUAUGGGAUCGUCAUUUCCAAGCCAACUGGACGCCGGUUUUUUUCGAUACCGCAUGACCGAAUAAAAUCCGCGUCAGCUAUGGCUAUGAAAUGAAGAUCACUGUCAUUUUAUAUGGGAAUUGUCAUCGAUCGUCAUUUCAUAGCCAUCGCUGACGCCGUUUUUAUUCGAUCAUACGGUACUAGUGUAAAAAAAAUCAUAUAACUUUAUAAAUCUUAUGAACACUUAUUAUUGUGUAUUAUUUGAAUAGAAUAUAAAUAAAAUAUAACAACAUAUAGCAAUUAUUUUCCAUUUGA
This is a long non-coding RNA of Sitophilus oryzae (rice weevil), 1263 nucleotides long. RefSeq lists it as uncharacterized. NCBI's taxonomy places the organism in Eukaryota, Metazoa, Arthropoda, Insecta, Coleoptera, Curculionidae. The record is from RefSeq and is a predicted model, not a curated record. The transcript has 4 exons.